UUGUGAUUUACAGGUAACAUGUAACCACUGUGUUUCCUAGAUAACAGGCCCCUUUCUGGAAUCCUCAGUGACUCCCUUGGUACUGCUAUCAGCUUUACUUCUCCAACAGAAAUCAAGGAUUUGCUUCAGUUUUAGGAUCUCUGGGCCAGCACUGAAUGAAUGCCUCAUUUGACCUUGGUCUAUAAGAUGUUGUGGCCGCUGGAGUAUGGAAAGGCUUCCACUGAUGUAUGUUACAACUGCCUUUUUUAAAGCUAUACUACACAAUAGGCUUGUAGUCCUGAUCAGAUAGCUGUGCAUCUACCCCCUGCCAUGCAUUCUCCCUAGUGCCCAUUUACAAGGUAAGUUCUAAUAUUUUUGUUUCUAGUUUUCAUUGCUUUUUCUCACUACUACUGUUAGAUAAAUAAAUGAUAGCCUAGGGAUGAGGAAGUCUCAUUCGAUUUGCUCAUAGGGUUUGUGAGGACGGUUGUGUUAAAAACAUGCUCAAAGAAAAACCCCAAGUUUAAAGACUUCUCCAACCUUCCCUGAAAUGUCAGUCUCUACCUGUUGUGCCAUGGCUCUGAUUCUCCAAUAUUCAGCUUCAGCACUCGGCGAGAGGGAGGGGGCUGCCACCUUCACUUCACAGGCGUCUCCACUAAAGCUUUCAGAACCACUGUGGAAAUAGCCCAAUAGGUUCUAUAGAGAAACACAACAUCAGACUUUCACUGUGCGUUAAAUUAAGUCAGUGAUUGUAGAACUGCUGAACCUCCUCAUGUGUAAUACAAAAUUCAGAGUGGGAGUGAUCUCUACCCAGUACGGAUCACCUGCUAUUCAGCAUUCAGUGUAUUUGAUGCAAAUGCAUCACAACAGCUUGGGUAGUGGUGUAUUAAAGGGAAUUUUUUGUCACAAGGUGGCGAGCUGAGAAAUAAUCUAUAUGGAGCAUGCAGCAACAGGAUCAAGUAAGCAACUUUGUCUCGAUCUACUUUUAACCAACUGAGAAGAAGAGCUGGAACAAAAGUGCGCUUACCAGUGUCGUCAUCAAAGUCAGAAAGGAUGCACUCAAUGCCGUCCUCACUGCUGGCUGACUGCUCCUGCACUCUUCGGGGCAUGUUAACCAACCGGACACUGAGGAAAACAGGUUUCAAGGGCAUUUUG
Molecule: long non-coding RNA, 1131 nt
Organism: Numida meleagris (helmeted guineafowl)
Lineage: Eukaryota; Metazoa; Chordata; Aves; Galliformes; Numididae
Exons: 4
Source: RefSeq, a predicted model, not a curated record